This 1242-nucleotide ribosomal RNA is filed under the name metagenome. RNAcentral describes it as "bacterial LSU rRNA". It matches the Rfam family "Bacterial large subunit ribosomal RNA", at positions 1564 to 2816 of the family's 2925-position model. The record is from RNAcentral.
UGAGUACAAGAUGCUACGGCAUUGAAGCAGUCUAUGUCAUACUUCCAAGAAAAGCUUGCAAUGUCAUAAACAAAUAAUGCCUGUACCAUAACCGACACAGGUGGGUAGGUAGAGUAUACUAAGGGGCGCGAGAUAACUCUCUCUAAGGAACUCGGCAAAAUGACUCCGUAACUUCGGGAGAAGGAGUACCUUAUUUUAUAAGGUUGCAAUAACAAGGUCCAAGCAACUGUUUACCAAAAACACAGGUCUCCGCUAAGUCGUAAGACGAUGUAUGGGGGCUGACGCCUGCCCAGUGCCAGAAGGUUAAAGAAGUUGGUUAGCAUUAGCGAAGCUGAUAACUGAAGCCCUGGUGAACGGCGGCCGUAACUAUAACGGUCCUAAGGUAGCGAAAUUCCUUGUCGGGUAAGUUCCGACCCGCACGAAAGGCGUAAUGAUUUGGAUACUGUCUCGGAGAGGGGCUCGGUGAAAUAGACUUGUCUGUGAAGAUGCGGACUACCUGCACCUGGACAGAAAGACCCUAUGAAGCUUUACUGUAACUUGAGAUUGAAAUUGGACUUUAUUUGCGCAGUAUAGGUGGGAGACCUCGAAAGUAUUCUUGCGGGAAUAUUGGAGUCAUCAGUGAGAUACCACUCUUAUAAUGUUAGAUUUCUAACUUUGUAUCAUUAUCUGGUCAAAGAACAGUUUCAGGCGGGCAGUUUGACUGGGGCGGUCGCCUCCCAAAUGGUAACGGAGGCGCACAAAGGUUUCCUCUGAACGUGUAGAAAUCUAUCUAGAGUGUAAAGGCAUAAGGAAGCUUGACUGUGAGACCUACAAGUCGAGCAGGGACGAAAGUCGGUCUUAGUGAUCUGACGGUGCUGAGUGGAAAGGCCGUCACUCAACGGAUAAAAGUUACUCUAGGAUAACAGGCUGAUCUCCCCCAAGAGUUCACAUCGACGGGGAGGUUUGGCACCUCGAUGUCGGCUCAUCGCAUCCUGGGGCGGUAGUACGUCCCAAGGGUUGGGCUGUUCGCCCAUGAAGGCGGUACGCGAGCUGGGUUCAGAACGUCGUGAGACAGUUCGGUCCAUAUCCGGUGUAGGCGUUAGAAUAUUGAGAGGAGCCUUCUUUAGUACGAGAGGACCGAGAAGGACAUACCUCUGGUGUACCAGUUAUCGUGCCAACGGUAAACGCUGGGUAGCUAUGUAUGGAGAGGAUAACCGCUGAAAGCAUCUAAGUGGGAAGCCCACCUCAAGAUAAGUAUUCUCA